This 74-nucleotide transfer RNA is filed under the name Candidatus Nomurabacteria bacterium RIFCSPHIGHO2_01_FULL_42_15. RNAcentral describes it as "tRNA-Ala". It matches the Rfam family "tRNA". Rfam says of the family: Transfer RNA (tRNA) molecules are approximately 80 nucleotides in length. Their secondary structure includes four short double-helical elements and three loops (D, anti-codon, and T loops). Lineage: Bacteria; Candidatus Nomuraibacteriota. RNAcentral also lists the same sequence under 1 other name. The record is from RNAcentral.
GGGCCUGUAGUAUAGUAGUAAUACGCGUCCAUGGCAUGGACGAGUCAGGAGUGCGAUCCUCCUCAGGUCCACAA